RNAcentral lists this ribosomal RNA (469 nucleotides) under Streptococcus anginosus. RNAcentral's name for it is "bacterial SSU rRNA". It matches the Rfam family "Bacterial small subunit ribosomal RNA", at positions 28 to 471 of the family's 1533-position model. The record is from RNAcentral. Lineage: Bacteria; Bacillati; Bacillota; Bacilli; Lactobacillales; Streptococcaceae.
GACGAACGCUGGCGGCGUGCCUAAUACAUGCAAGUAGGACGCACAGUUUAUAUCGUAGCUUGCUACACCAUAGACUGUGAGUUGCGAACGGGUGAGUAACGCGUAGGUAACCUGCCUAUUAGAGGGGGAUAACUAUUGGAAACGAUAGCUAAUACCGCAUAACAGUAUGUAACACAUGUUAGAUGCUUGAAAGAUGCAAUUGCAUCGCUAGUAGAUGGACCUGCGUUGUAUUAGCUAGUAGGUAGGGUAAAGGCCUACCUAGGCAACGAUACAUAGCCGACCUGAGAGGGUGAUCGGCCACACUGGUACUGAGACACGGCCCAGACUCCUACGGGAGGCAGCAGUAGGGAAUCUUCGGCAAUGGGGGGAACCCUGACCGAGCAACGCCGCGUGAGUGAAGAAGGUUUUCGGAUCGUAAAGCUCUGUUGUUAAGGAAGAACGAGUGUGAGAAUGGAAAGUUCAUACUGUG